Molecule: long non-coding RNA, 1233 nt
Organism: Patella vulgata (common limpet)
Lineage: Eukaryota; Metazoa; Mollusca; Gastropoda; Patellidae
Exons: 4
Source: RefSeq, a predicted model, not a curated record
UAAACAUUGUAUUAUAUUUUGAAAUUAAACAUUGUAUUAUAUUUUGAAAUUAUAUUAUAUUUUUAGUUGAAAGUAAAGGCACCUAUGACACUCUUCGAGCCAGCACAAAAUAUUGUUGAUAAUAUCCUAGCUGAGCAUGUGGAUAACAGAGAACCAGAGGCAUCCAGACCCAUUUAUUCGAACCUGCUUCGAUAUUGUAAUCGGUUCCGACAAAAAGAGAGACCAGCUGAUCCAACAGAUCUUGAUUUUGAGAUCAAUGAAGAGUUUUUGGCAACAGCUAUUCCGGAGGUGUUUUUACAGAAAGACAUACACACAAAAGAUGGCCGACACCUACUUUUUGCCACAGAGAAGCAAAUUGAACUUCUUGGAAAAGCUAAGACAUGGUAUAUAGAUGGUACUUUUAGAACAGUAAACAAACCAUUUUACCAGCUAUUGUCAAUCCAUAGUUUUUUUAAAAUCUGGUGAAAGUAUCAAGCAAGUUCCCUUGGCGUUUGUACUGAUGUCAGGAAAGUCUAAAAGAGACUACAAGAAGGUAUUCAAGGCCAUCAUGGAUAUGACACCAUCAGCCCCUGCAGUGCAGGCUUUUGUUGCAGAUUUUGAGGCAGGGAUCUGGCAGGCUUUAAGGUCAGUUUUCGACAACCCAAGUAUACAUGGCUGUGCGUUCCAUUGGGGUCAGGCGGUUUGGAGAAAGAUCCAAGAAAACGGACUUCAGACUGCUUACAGCCAGAAAGAUGCUGUAUAUAAGUUUUUUUAGAAAAGUCCUUGCCUUGCCAUUCCUACCCGCUGAACAUAUAUUGCCAACAUUCAAUAAAUUAGAAGAAAAGGCCACAACCGAUCAAAUUAAAGUGGUUAUGAAAUACAUAAUAAUAAUAAUAAUGGAUGUCGAGGGAUGGCAUAAUCGAAUCAACCAAAAGGCCAGAAAAGGGAAUUUACAGUUUUAUCUACUGAUAUCUUUGUUGUAUAAAGAAGCAGCGCAGCUACCGACACAAAUGAAAAUGGUCUCAGAAGAAGACACCAGAAAAAACAAUCACGAACUACACAAAGCAAGUUAUUUCAACUUUGGAAUUUAUAUACCAGUCAGGAAAUAAGCACCAACCAGCUACUAAAAAGAUGUGGGGGGAUAUAUGGACCGAACUGAAGGACAGACUUACGUAAUAAAUGACUGACUGAACGACAAACUGACAGACUAAAUUACUAAAUGACUGGCCUAAUAAAAUGUAUUAGUUGAUGAUA